AUGAACGCUGGCGGCGUGCCUAAUACCUGCAAGUCGCGCGAACAGACGAGGAGCUUGCUCCUCUGACGUUAGCGGCGGACGGGUGAGUAACACGUGGAUAACCUACCUAUAAGACUGGGAUAACUUCGGGAAACCGGAGCUAAUACCGGAUAAUAUAUUGAACCGCAUGGUUCAAUAGUGAAAGACGGUUUUGCUGUCACUUAUAGAUGGAUCCGCGCCGCAUUAGCUAGUUGGUAAGGUAACGGCUUACCAAGGCAACGAUGCGUAGCCGACCUGAGAGGGUGAUCGGCCACACUGGAACUGAGACACGGUCCAGACUCCUACGGGAGGCAGCAGUAGGGAAUCUUCCGCAAGGGGCGAAAGCCUGACGGAGCAACGCCGCGUGAGUGAUGAAGGUCUGCGGAUCGUAAAACUCUGUUAUUAGGGAAGAACAAAUGUGUAAGUAACGAUGCACGUCUUGACGGUACCUAAUCAGAAAGCCACGGCUAACUACGU
RNAcentral lists this ribosomal RNA (495 nucleotides) under uncultured bacterium. Its description in RNAcentral is "partial 16S ribosomal RNA". It matches the Rfam family "Bacterial small subunit ribosomal RNA", at positions 29 to 506 of the family's 1533-position model. The record is from RNAcentral.